Molecule: ribosomal RNA, 417 nt
Filed under: uncultured bacterium
Lineage: Bacteria
Description: bacterial SSU rRNA
Rfam family: Bacterial small subunit ribosomal RNA
Source: RNAcentral
GGCCAGCAGCCGCGGUAAUACGUAGGGGGCGAGCGUUGUCCGGAAUUACUGGGCGUAAAGAGCGUGUAGGCGGGUACUUAAGUCAGGUGUGAAAGACCGGGGCUCAACUCCGGGGUUGCACUUGAAACUGGGUGUCUUGAGGGCAGGAGAGGAAAGUAGAAUUCCUGGUGUAGCGGUGAAAUGCGUAGAUAUCAGGAGGAAUACCGGUGGCGAAGGCGGCUUUCUGGACUGACCCUGACGCUGAGACGCGAAAGCGUGGGGAGCAAACAGGAUUAGAUACCCUGGUAGUCCACGCUGUAAACGAUGGGCACUAGGUGUAGGAGGUAUCGACCCCUUCUGUGCCGCAGCUAACGCAAUAAGUGCCCCGCCUGGGGAGUACGGUCGCAAGGCUGAAACUUAAAGGAAUUGGCGGGGGAU